Peromyscus leucopus (white-footed mouse) is the source of this 303-nucleotide long non-coding RNA. RefSeq lists it as uncharacterized. The record is from RefSeq and is a predicted model, not a curated record. The transcript has 2 exons. Lineage: Eukaryota; Metazoa; Chordata; Mammalia; Rodentia; Cricetidae.
GCCAAAGACUAGAUUAUCCAGUGUUGCAGAGGAACCUUAGGUUUGGAUUUUUUGGCUUUGACUUAGCCAGUGACACCUCGGAUUUUGUGCUACUUCUUCCCAAGGCCCUCCUAGGUCUAAGGAAAACGUUAACACGAAGUGUGGACAAGAAAACAGAUUCCGUUCCUAUUCAAAUGUAAAGAGUCAUCUGUAGAGGCCUUGCAGCACUCAGGAACACCCUUACGGCCAGACCUAAACCCCACCAAGGCUUGGAUAGACGACUCACAGAAAUAUUUAAAGGCAAGUGUUAUUUUAUCAAAGCAA